Molecule: transfer RNA, 73 nt
Filed under: Bos taurus (domestic cattle)
Lineage: Eukaryota; Metazoa; Chordata; Mammalia; Artiodactyla; Bovidae
Also listed under: 5 other names
Rfam family: tRNA
About the family: Transfer RNA (tRNA) molecules are approximately 80 nucleotides in length. Their secondary structure includes four short double-helical elements and three loops (D, anti-codon, and T loops). Further hydrogen bonds mediate the characteristic L-shaped molecular structure. tRNAs have two regions of fundamental functional importance: the anti-codon, which is responsible for specific mRNA codon recognition, and the 3' end, to which the tRNAs corresponding amino acid is attached (by aminoacyl-tRNA synthetases). tRNAs cope with the degeneracy of the genetic code in two manners: having more than one tRNA (with a specific anti-codon) for a particular amino acid; and 'wobble' base-pairing, i.e. permitting non-standard base-pairing at the 3rd anti-codon position.
Source: Rfam by way of RNAcentral
CCCCUGGAGGUCCAGUGGUUAAGACUCUACACUUCCAAUGCAGGGGGCUCAGGUUUGAUCCCUGGUUGGGGAA